UUAUUUUUUUCCAGGAUUUGUUGGACAAAAAGCCAAAUCAUGUCAUUCAUUUGUUGUUGUUAUUGUUGAUGAACGUCAUGUGUCUAAUUUAUUAAUUUUCACGUAUGUACAUAUUAAUUAUUUUUUCAUAUUUAUUUAAAUUAUAAUCCUAACUUUUUGAAUUAAAUAAUUAUCAUUAAUUUCUUGUGAUUUUACGUUGAAGUAUUUACAGUUUGUAUAAGCACUUUUGUUUGUGUUUGUACCAGGUGAUAAAAUACAUGUCCGCAACAUUAUCCUUGUUUUAUUCAUUUAUAUUUUUGUUUGUCUAAAAACAAUCAACAGCUUGAGUAAAAUAUUUAUUUAUGUGUUUUAGUAUUUUGCUGAAUACAAUGCCUAAUGAUGACAUUCAUUUGCUGUUCAAAGCCUGGUCUUAUUCAUUCUAAUUUCACAAUUUUGCUGAUGAUAAAAUGACAAAUGAUCAUGGCAUUUAUUUGCUGUUCAAAGCCUGGUCCUAUUUAUUUUAUUUUCACAUGUCGAAUAAUUUAUUUGCUGCAACAAAUAAAUCAAAGUAACCAGGUGCCUGGACUUAUUAACAAGUAAAGAGUUCGUCGAGAUAGAACGUUGAACGAUGUCGCUUGCUUGUUGGUAUACCGAGAUGUAGCUGUCUUUUGUUUCUUCUCUCUCCUUUUUCACAUCAUGUAUGUACUAUUUGUUUUUCUACUUUUUUUAAAAUCAUAUUCCUUCUUUUUUGCAUG
Aphidius gifuensis is the source of this 734-nucleotide long non-coding RNA. RefSeq lists it as uncharacterized. The record is from RefSeq and is a predicted model, not a curated record. The transcript is spliced from 4 exons. NCBI's taxonomy places the organism in Eukaryota, Metazoa, Arthropoda, Insecta, Hymenoptera, Braconidae.